Molecule: ribosomal RNA, 643 nt
Filed under: uncultured bacterium
Lineage: Bacteria
Description: bacterial SSU rRNA
Rfam family: Bacterial small subunit ribosomal RNA
Source: RNAcentral
CGCGGCCUAUCAGCUUGUUGGUGAGGUAAUGGCUCACCAAGGCGACGACGGGUAGCCGGCCUGAGAGGGCGACCGGCCACACUGGGACUGAGACACGGCCCAGACUCCUACGGGAGGCAGCAGUGGGGAAUAUUGCACAAUGGGCGAAAGCCUGAUGCAGCGACGCCGCGUGAGAGAUGACGGCCUUCGGGUUGUAAACCUCUUUCAGCAGGGAAGAAGCGAAAGUGACGGUACCUGCAGAAGAAGCACCGGCUAACUACGUGCCAGCAGCCGCGGUGAUACGUAGGGUGCGAGCGUUGUCCGGAAUUAUUGGGCGUAAAGAGCUUGUAGGCGGUUUGUCGCGUCUGCUGUGAAAAUCCGGGGCUCAACCCCGGACUUGCAGUGGGUACGGGCAGACUAGAGUGUGGUAGGGGAGACUGGAAUUCCUGGUGUAGCGGUGAAAUGCGCAGAUAUCAGGAGGAACACCGAUGGCGAAGGCAGGUCUCUGGGCCACUACUGACGCUAAGAAGCGAAAGCAUGGGGAGCGAACAGGAUUAGAUACCCUGGUAGUCCAUGCCGUAAACGUUGGGCGCUAGGUGUGGGACUCAUUCCACGAGUUCCGUGCCGCAGCUAACGCAUUAAGCGCCCCGCCUGGGGAGUACGG